RNAcentral lists this ribosomal RNA (328 nucleotides) under uncultured eukaryote. Its description in RNAcentral is "partial 18S ribosomal RNA". It matches the Rfam family "Eukaryotic small subunit ribosomal RNA", at positions 1470 to 1796 of the family's 1831-position model. The record is from RNAcentral.
CCCUUAGAUGUCCUGGGCCGCACGCGCGUUACACUGAUGCAUUCAACGAGCUUAUAACCUUGGCCGAGAGGCCUGGGCAAUCUUGUUAACGUGCAUCGUGAUAGGGAUAGAUUAUUGAAAUUAUUAAUCUUGAACGAGGAAUUCCUAGUAAACGCAGAUCAUCAAUCUGCAUUGAUUACGUCCCUGCCCUUUGUACACACCGCCCGUCGCACCUACCGAUUGGACGGUCCGGUGAAGCCUCGGGAUUGUGGUUCUUGCCGCUUUAUUGUGGCGUGACCGCGAGAACUUGUCUAAACCUUAUCAUCUAGAGGAAGGUGAAGUCGUAACA